Molecule: long non-coding RNA, 605 nt
Filed under: Olea europaea subsp. europaea
Lineage: Eukaryota; Viridiplantae; Streptophyta; Magnoliopsida; Lamiales; Oleaceae
Source: RNAcentral
CUUGUCAUCGUUCUAGAAUCCAUUGGAGAUGAUGACUGGAAGAAGUAUGGAAAAAGAUCUUCAAAUAUCAGCAACGCAUACUAGCAAUUUAGGAUUUUAGAAAAUGCUGAUGUGAAAGAUGUUUUAAUCGGCGUGGACGGUGCACCUGACUAUGAUGCCGUGAAAAUAGGCAUUUUAUACCUGUUUGCAUCUUACUUGUAUGUAACUCAUAAAAGAAAAUGGUUAAUAAAUCUAUUUUUGGUCUUGUUGAAAAUUUCAAUGUAAUGGAGAUGACUUCAUGGAGAAAAGAAGAUGUUCAAGACCACACUAUCAACAAUUAGGAAAGGACUGAAAUAGGGCUGGUCACUACCAUAUGCAAUGUUUUUUUAUUACAUUUCGAGUAGUACGAGUCAGUUCUGAGUCUGAAUGGAACAUUUGCACAAGAAUUCAUCGAUGGUGGCCCUGCAUCAUGAACUGGACUGGCAGAGAAGCAUCCAUCAGUAGCCAUGCUGGAGGAGGGAGUUUUUUUCAAACCUGAUGUAAACAUUUUAAAUACGUGACUAUUGUUAAUUCUUAUAUUUGUUGAGUUUCAAAUUCUCUUGACAUUAAUUUUUUUUUUUUCCCCU